CUUAAUAGUCCUGUAAAGUCAUGUAAAGAUGGAUAGCAAAGUAUCGGCAUACAUGGCCAGUCUAAGACGCACGUGUGGGAGUGUGUGGAAAUUAUUUAAGACUGCUAGUAAUGUAUCAAGGUCUUUCAAAUUGUAAAUCUAUCACUGAUGACACGUUGUGUAACAAACGAACGCGCCUGCUUGUGUAAGACAGUUUUGUAAGGUAAGACUUUAUUAGCCCCUCCCUCGUGAGGUGCAUCGGUACACAUAUAUAAUUGGUAUACAUAUGCAAUAUAUAUAUUGCAGAAAUAUGACAAGCUGCAAUUUAUCUGGUUUGUUAUCACGGAGCUUCCGAAGCUUUCCUCAGUAGACUAGUUUUGAUCAUGUCAAUUACUGCACCCACCGGCGAAGUUCAUGAUCAAGUGCCGCAUCAUGAAACGAAGAGGACUGAGUAUAAUCUAGUUCAGGUAAAGGGGACGUGGACGAGAAAGAAUCGAAAAACUUUAAGGAAGAAUGAAAAUGAACGCGUGUCAUCUGCCAAAAUACAUGAAUGCAGUGAAGGAAGGGGGACAACCUGGACAGUGGUCAGUCCCAUUGUCUUCACCUAUCAGGUGAUCCAGACCCAAAACCUGCUGGAUCCCAGCAAUGACGCCCUCCUGACUGGCCACAUCAGAGACCCCCAGCAGCUGGAGCUUCUCAGAGGCAGCCACAAGCCUCUUAAACGCUUUGUGGUCAUGGACGAGACAGUCUUCAAGCUGUAUGGCUGCCAAGUCACUGACUACUUUGAGAGUCGCGAUGUCUUGUACAGAAUCCUUCCCCUACCCACAACGGAGGAGAAGAAGUCGAUGGAAAUGGUGAUGAUGAUGCUCAAUGAGGUCCACAAGUUUGGCAUUGACAGGCGCACAGAGCCGAUCAUCGCUAUCGGUGGCGGCGUGUGCCUGGACAUCGUGGGCCUUGCUGCUUCGCUAUACAGAAGGCGCACCCCUUACAUCCGAGUGCCAACCUCUCUCCUCUCAUACAUUGAUGCCAGCGUGGGGGCCAAGAAUGGGGUGAACUUUGCCAACUGUAAAAAUAAGCUUGGCUCGUAUAUUCCACCUGCUGCUGCACUUUUGGACAGGUCCUUUAUUCAAACAUUACCACGAAGGCACAUCUCAAAUGGUAUGGCUGAAAUGCUCAAGAUGGCGCUGAUGAAGCACAAAGGGCUCUUUGAGCUGCUGGAGGAGCAAGGUCGAUUCCUGCUGGACUCCAGGUUUCAGUCCAACAACGUAGACUUGACCUCAGCGGCUGCAGUCACCACUAGGGUGGCAAUCGAGACCAUGCUGGAAGAGUUGGCCCCAAACCUCUGGGAGGACGACCUAGACAGACUGGUGGAUUUUGGCCACCUAAUAAGUCCUGCGCUAGAGAUGGAAGUGCUUCCAGCACUUUUGCACGGGGAGGCCGUGAACAUCGACAUGGCCUUCAUGGUGUACGUGGCCCAUGAGAGGGGCCUGGUGACCGAGGACGAGAAGCUUCGGAUCGUCGACUGCAUGCUGGGGCUGGAGCUCCCCGUGUGGCACCGGGGCUUCACGCUGGCCCUGGUCCAGAGGGCGCUGCGCGAGCGCCUCAGACACUCCGGAGGGCUGGUGAGGAUGCCUCUGCCCACCGGCCUGGGCUGUGCAGAAAUCUUCAACGACACAGACGAUGAAACCCUGUGCCAUGCGUAUGAGAGGUGGUGUGAUGAGCUGGGACCAGGACUUUCCUCGUGAACCUUGACAUCUUAUGAGUUUAUGUUUGACUUCUGUUCCAGCAGCAUUAGGUAUAGUGAUGCCAAGAUCUAUUCUUUUAACAGGCUUUCACCCUGUCACUACUUCUAUAGGUCAUGUGUUCAGUACUUUUGUUCAAAUGGGAUUUCUGAUAGAACUGAAACAUGUGAAUGUAUAUGAUAUUAGUUUAAUAUGGGAUUUUCUAGGUGCUCUUAACCUUUCAAUAAGUCAAACUAUUAAUGUGUAAGGAAUCCAAAUACUGACAUAUUAAACUUUAGUCUGUUAUAACAUGGUAUAUAUUAGCAAAUAUAUCUAACAACUUUUUGUUAUAUAGUUGAUAUAUAUUUGUGUUGCUAACAUGUAUUCUAAAAGCUUUUCUUUGGCGCUUUGAGACCCAUGUUUAAGAUUAUUCAGUGUAAUAUCUAAAUAAACGGAAAAUAUAGAUUAAUGUCUAUCCUGUAACUAUGAUCCACUAUCCACUUGGACUUGGAUCUUCCGGGAGAAAGAUCAUGGACAUCUCAUGAUUCGAUGCAGAGGUGACUUAGGACACCAUCUCCAAAGGUGCCGAUUUUACUUAACUAACUUCAUCAUUUUGAUACCAUUCAGAAUUAUAAAAUACACUGAAUACACAAAUGUGACUAGUAAAAUAAGGACAGAACAGAAAAGGAAAAAAAAAGCUUUUUUUUUAUUUGAAAAUAGGCUGAGAAUUCUAUUUUGGGAAUAGGCAUAUACUUAAUCGAAAACUAUUG
Clupea harengus (Atlantic herring) is the source of this 2470-nucleotide long non-coding RNA. The record is from Ensembl. NCBI's taxonomy places the organism in Eukaryota, Metazoa, Chordata, Actinopteri, Clupeiformes, Clupeidae.